Molecule: unclassified non-coding RNA, 201 nt
Filed under: Hevea brasiliensis (rubber tree)
Lineage: Eukaryota; Viridiplantae; Streptophyta; Magnoliopsida; Malpighiales; Euphorbiaceae
Source: RNAcentral
AUUGAAAGUGCUUGAAUCUCCAUAAGCACCAUCGCUUGCACUCAGGAAGGUAAUGAUCUCAUUCAAAGACUGUAAUCUGUGGCUAAGCUCACCAACCUGAGCCCUGAGGAUAGAGUUAUCAGCCUCCAUGAUCAGGUAUUGCUGAGUUGUGAUGUCGAUGCUUGUGAUAAGCUGGAGGUUCUCCUUCCUCAGCUGAGCCAA